RNAcentral lists this ribosomal RNA (429 nucleotides) under Acidobacteriota bacterium. RNAcentral describes it as "Acidobacteria bacterium partial 16S ribosomal RNA". It matches the Rfam family "Bacterial small subunit ribosomal RNA", at positions 355 to 776 of the family's 1533-position model. The record is from RNAcentral. Lineage: Bacteria; Pseudomonadati; Acidobacteriota.
UGGGGAAUUUAGGACAAUGGGGGAAACCCUGAUCCAGCCAUCCCGCGUGUGCGAUGAAGGCCUUCGGGUUGUAAAGCACUUUUGGCAGGAAAGAAACGUCAUGGGUUAAUACCCCGUGAAACUGACGGUACCUGCAGAAUAAGCACCGGCUAACUACGUGCCAGCAGCCGCGGUAAUACGUAGGGUGCAAGCGUUAAUCGGAAUUACUGGGCGUAAAGCGUGCGCAGGCGGUUCGGAAAGAAAGAUGUGAAAUCCCAGAGCUCAACUUUGGAACGGCAUUUUUAACUACCGGGCUAGAGUGUGGCAGAGGGGGAUGGACUUCCGCGUGUAGCAGUGACAUGCGUAGAUAUGCGGAGGAAUACCGAUGGCGCAGGCAGCCUCCUGGGAUCACACUGUCGCUGAUGCACGAAAGCGUGGGGAGCGAACUGG